GAGGUGAAAAGAGGAAAGGCAGAGGGUAAACAGCUUUUGAGUCGCAUCGUCUGCUUUUUCCUGUUGGUCUUAGGGGCUCUUCCUGUUUCCCAUCUCGCCGCCGUUGCCAUGCGUGUGUUUGUGUGCCCGCUUAUCUGCGAGCACUUCCUCUUCCACAGCUCCGAGAGUUUGUUUGCAUUUUAAAAUCACAUCAAAGGGAGGACUGUCUGAGACAUUCCUGGGAGAAAGAUAAGAUGCUUUGAAGUGCAUAGGACACAGGCAUGAAAUCUUGAUUGCCCCAUCUCUCCUCAACUACCUGCAUCAGACCUUUGGAAACCACACGAAAUGACACACUGUACAUUCCUUCAGUGUCACAAAUAAG
Long non-coding RNA from Anguilla rostrata (American eel), 361 nucleotides. RefSeq lists it as uncharacterized. NCBI's taxonomy places the organism in Eukaryota, Metazoa, Chordata, Actinopteri, Anguilliformes, Anguillidae. The transcript is spliced from 2 exons. The record is from RefSeq and is a predicted model, not a curated record.